RNAcentral lists this ribosomal RNA (315 nucleotides) under uncultured bacterium. Its description in RNAcentral is "bacterial SSU rRNA". It matches the Rfam family "Bacterial small subunit ribosomal RNA", at positions 28 to 335 of the family's 1533-position model. The record is from RNAcentral.
GAUGAACGCUAGCUACAGGCUUAACACAUGCAAGUCGAGGGGCAUCAGGAAGAAAGCUUGCUUUCUUUGCUGGCGACCGGCGCACGGGUGAGUAACACGUAUCCAACCUGCCCUUUACUCGGGGAUAGCCUUUCGAAAGAAAGAUUAAUACCCGAUAGCAUAAUGAUUUCGCAUGGUUUCAUUAUUAAAGGAUUCCGGUAAAGGAUGGGGAUGCGUUCCAUUAGGUUGUUGGUGAGGUAACGGCUCACCAAGCCUUCGAUGGAUAGGGGUUCUGAGAGGAAGGUCCCCCACAUUGGAACUGAGACACGGUCCAAA